This 276-nucleotide ribosomal RNA is filed under the name uncultured bacterium. RNAcentral's name for it is "partial 16S ribosomal RNA". It matches the Rfam family "Bacterial small subunit ribosomal RNA", at positions 28 to 292 of the family's 1533-position model. The record is from RNAcentral.
GACGAACGCUGGCGGCGUGCUUAACACAUGCAAGUCGAGCGGUAAGGCCCUUUCGGGGUACGACGAGCGGCGAACGGGUGGAGUAACACGUGGGUGGACCUGCCCUCCAGCUCUGGGAGUAAGACCCGGGAAACCGUAGGGUCGUAAUACCGGAUAUGACUUCAUGACGCAUGUUGUGGAGUGGAAAGACCUUGUGCGGCUGAGGAUGGGCCCGGCCGGCCUAUCAGCUUGUUGGUGGGGUGGAUGGCCUACCAAGGCGACGACGGGUAGCCGGCC